CAAUGAGCUGAGAAAAGAGUGGCCAUUUUUAAAUUUUGCUAGUUGAAAGAACGAAUUUUAAGCUCCACCUAGGACCAUUUACUUAUUCCGAUUGUGGAUCUGUCCGCCCUGCUCAAGUUUUUGGUCAUGGUACUUUUUUUUUGAGGUUACACAUCUACCAUUUGACAUGAUUAUUAUGAUUUUAAUGUCAAAUCAGUAACAUUGAAAAUGAUGGUGUGAGUUUGGCAUUAGUGUUACAUGGACGAAUUCUUGUCAAUAGAUGAAUUAAGUCCAUGAAACUGUUUUGUUAGGGUAAACAAUGGUUAAAUGAUGCCUCUGAAUGAAUAGUUUGAGGCACGAUAUUUUGUGUGAACAAAGCCAACAAACUUCAAAUGGGAAUGUAGUGAAAAGGUGUAUAUCAAUGGAACGUGGAUAACAUAACUUGUCAAACAAGAACAGAUUUUCAACAUUCACUUUCGUUAUAAACUUACUUGGUUCAGUAGGGAAGUAGCCGCAAAUCCAGUCAAUUUUGUGUCAUUUCCUUCAUUUGUUGUGUAUUCAUUUGUCCUGUGAAGAACGAGAACAAAAUGAUACAACAAUUCGUCAUAACAGACCAGAUGACAGAAUUUAAUAACAAUGGUCACCGUCAGACUUUCAACAAUGAGCUAAGCCCAUAUCACAGUCUACUAUAAAAGGUCCCGAAAUAACUAAUGUAAAUGAGAUAAAACUGACGGCCCAAUUUAUGUAAAAAAUAAUGAAUGAAAAUGAAAUAUGUAACAGCAACAAACGAGGACCACUGAAUAAUAGGCUCCUGACUUUGGACAGGCACUUGCAGAAUAAGGCAGGUUUAAACAUGCUCCCAAUCAUGUGACAAGUGGUUCAUCAGAACAGUACAAGACAUUCCUGAAAAAAUCUCAAAUGAAAACAUCAUUUUGCCUGUUCCAACCCCCAAGUUUCUUGAUUUGUAGUCUUAGACCUUUAAAGUAAUUGAAAUGAAGGCUGAACAUGAUUAAAUUUUGUUUAACUGUACAAUAUUGUGAUUGAAAAUAUGAAACAAUGUUAUACUCCACUUAAUUGCAUUCUGUUUUGUCAUUGAACGCAAGAUAUCCAUAAGUAUUAACGUUAUUAGGGUGAAUGGUUUAUCAACUACAUUUGUUUACUUUCAGGUCUAAGUAGAUGUUGCCAUCGUUUAUUUUUAAGACUCCAAUUGAUGUGUUCAGCUAUAGACCAAGGUAUUGCAACCAUGUGUUCAGUUGAGAACUCCUAUUGAUGAUGAUGAAGAUGAUGAAAAUGAUGAUGAUGAAUUAGCGUGGUCACGUGAUCAAAAGUCUUAGUUUGACCAGGUACCAUGCUUUCGACUGAAAACAUGGCUGUUUUAACAACAACAUGUUGUCAUGGUGAACCAACACGACUUACAACAACAGCAACACAAAGCAACAACAACAUUUUGUCAUCCAGGGCUCAACUUUGGGAACUAUCUUUGAGGAAGAAAGAGGAAGAAGAAGAAUUGGUGUCGACUGCGUGGAAGUCUCCAUGGUGACCAGGCUAGGCAUCUGUAUGGUAACCACUGUUGAGGCUUUGGUGGCUCCUCUAUGAGAACAUAUUUUGUAAUAUCUUAGACUUGGCAAUGAUCCAAUUUAUCCAAAGACAUGAAAUUGCAUGGAUUGAAUUGUUCAGUUGAGGUUUUGAAAAUAUUAAAAGAAAAAAAUCUA
Molecule: long non-coding RNA, 1691 nt
Filed under: Mytilus galloprovincialis (Mediterranean mussel)
Lineage: Eukaryota; Metazoa; Mollusca; Bivalvia; Mytilida; Mytilidae
Source: RNAcentral